Molecule: ribosomal RNA, 250 nt
Filed under: uncultured bacterium
Lineage: Bacteria
Description: partial 16S ribosomal RNA
Rfam family: Bacterial small subunit ribosomal RNA
Source: RNAcentral
AACGUAGGAGACGAGCGUUAUCCGGAAUUACUGGGCGUAAAGCGCGUGUAGGCGGUUGAGUAAGUUCGUCGUGAAAGCUUCCGGCUAAACUGGAAGAGGUCGAUGGAUACUGCUCGGCUGGAGUGCGGGAGAGGCAGGUGGAAUUCCGGGUGUAGUGGUGAAAUGCGUAGAGAUCCGGAGGAACACCAGUGGCGAAGGCGGCCUGCUGGUCCGCAACUGACGCUGAGACGCGAAAGCAUGGGGAGCGAAC